This 399-nucleotide ribosomal RNA is filed under the name uncultured Hypotrichia. Its description in RNAcentral is "partial small subunit ribosomal RNA". It matches the Rfam family "Eukaryotic small subunit ribosomal RNA", at positions 30 to 432 of the family's 1831-position model. Lineage: Eukaryota; Ciliophora; Spirotrichea. The record is from RNAcentral.
GCUUGUCUCAAAGAUUAAGCCAUGCAUGUCUAAGUAUAAGCCUUUACACGGUGAGACUGCGAAUGGCUCAUUAAAUCAGAAACUGUUUAUUUGAUAGUGCCUACUACUUGGAUAACCGUGGUAAUUCUAGAGCUAAUACAUGCUGGUUAGCCUGACUUUUAGGAAGGGCUGUAUUUAUUAGAUAACAAACCAAUAUUCCUCGUGUCUAUUGUGAUGACUCAUAAUAACUGAUCGAAUCGCAUGGGCCUUGCCCGCGAUACAUCAUUCAAGUUUCUGCCCCAUCAGCUUUCGAUGGUAGUGUAUUGGACUACCAUGGCUUUAACGGGUAACGGAGGAUUAGGGUUCGAUUCCGGAGAGGGAGCCUGAGAAACGGCUACCACAUCUAAGGAAGGCAGCAGG